UACGUAGGGGGCAAGCGUUAUCCGGAUUUACUGGGCGUAAAGGGAGCGUAGACGGUGUGGCAAGUCUGAUGUGAAAGGCAUGGGCUCAACCUGUGGACUGCAUUGGAAACUGUCAUACUUGAGUGCCGGAGGGGUAAGCGGAAUUCCUAGUGUAGCGGUGAAAUGCGUAGAUAUUAGGAGGAACACCAGUGGCGAAGGCGGCUUACUGGACGGUAACUGACGUUGAGGCUCGAAAGCGUGGGGAGCAAACAGG
RNAcentral lists this ribosomal RNA (253 nucleotides) under Blautia wexlerae DSM 19850. RNAcentral describes it as "partial 16S ribosomal RNA". It matches the Rfam family "Bacterial small subunit ribosomal RNA", at positions 524 to 776 of the family's 1533-position model. The record is from RNAcentral. Lineage: Bacteria; Bacillati; Bacillota; Clostridia; Lachnospirales; Lachnospiraceae.